Molecule: long non-coding RNA, 2485 nt
Organism: Cucumis sativus (cucumber)
Lineage: Eukaryota; Viridiplantae; Streptophyta; Magnoliopsida; Cucurbitales; Cucurbitaceae
Exons: 2
Source: RefSeq, a predicted model, not a curated record
UUUGAAUUUCUUGACGUUUUUUAGAUGUCAAGUAAGAUCGUUUUUCUUGACGUUUUAAAAACGUCAAGUGUUAUUAAAUAUAUAAAAGAAAAUAUUGGGUUAAAUCCUUUGAAGCCAUAGAAUUGUCUCUGCCCCAUUCGAAAAUAUCAAGCUCUCUUGGAGAAUCUCUCACUUCUGCCGUGUUCACCGCCCGUUCGUCCGUCCGUCCGCGUUUACCCCGCCCUCUCCAAAAAUGUGUACUAGAUCCUUCACUUUCGGUCGUUCACUAUCCACUGAGUACGAGAUCCCUAAGACUCCCGUCGUCCGCCAUCCCUGAUACUCUGAAAUCGUCGUUCAUCGUCCCUCAAAAUUGUCGUGCUUCUCUACGAAAACGUCAUCCUUCUUUCGAGUCUUCAUCCCCUUUAUGUCGUCUUCCUGUAUUUAGAGGUUAUACUUCAUUUCCUUAAAACUUCCAUUGGUGUUCAUAUUUCAAGGAUUUGAAAUUUUUAUAGGACAUUGCUAGUGGAAAUUAAGUCAAUUCUGUUUGCUUCCAAGCUACCUCCUGAUUAUGCUGUCUGGUUGGGAGAAAUAAAUCAUUUGUCAUAUUUCAAGAUAGUGUAUGGUAACCAACACUUAGUGCAUUUUCGUGUUUAUGAGCUUAUUUUAUUAAUAUGUUUUUUAGGAAAAAUAUGAGGUCAAUAUAGCAUAUUAUAUCGAUGAAAUUGUAGCCGUUUAGCACAAACUGUAUACCCAGAAUUUGAGAAACCGUUACUAUUCCUCUUAGAUGGGUUAAAUACUGAUUGCAACAAUUAUGUAGUACCAACCAAAUUUUGAGGUUCUUUUUUCACUAAUUAUGCUUUAUCUAAUAUAUUUUUUCAAAUCUUAAAGUAGAACUUUUUGGUUUCAUUGGAGUUUAUUGUUAGAGCUGGCAUUACUAUAUUGGCUGCCUCUCAGUGGGCUAUGGGUUUUCCAAUGGUCAUUUGUUAUGCUUAUAUUUAUGUGUUUUUGCUUUUAGAAAGUAGGAGGUGUUUGACUGUGUUUUCUACUUUUUCGUUCAGGAAAUCAAUACAUUUGUAACUGAUUUGAAUAGCUUGCAUCCUAUUUUGACUGAAUGUCGUGUCUUGAAUCAGAACUGGAGCUUGCUCUUAUUCAAUUUACCGAUGAUAUUAGCUCGUGAACUCAUGUUUAGGAAACAAUUAGCUCGAAGGCCUUUACUGAAAGGUUGGUUUUGGACUGGGGAUGAAGUUGUUCAACUUGUUUGAUAUUUACUUUAUGUUGUUCCAUUCUAAGUAAAGUUGUAAAUUUCUUCACAUUAUGCUUCUAUUGGAACCAAAGUACAAGAAAUUAUUUUACAUUACGUGUUUUGAAAAAAAUUCAAAUCCUUCAUUUUGAAAUCUUGAAAAAAUCAACCAUUUUAGUUUGAAAUAUUUGUAGCAAACUUUGAAACUAAUUGGCAGGAGUGGUUCAAAAGAAGAGAUUAAAAGCUUGGAAGAAAAAAAAGUAGUGGAACUGAACUUCAAUUUAAUCUUGGUGGUUUCUUUGGCGAGAAGUACCUAUGCUAGUAUGUUGCAAUGAAGUAGUUGUUCUGUUGACAAGAUUAGACAACACUUCGAGGAAAAUUAAAUGUUUGUCAUUUCCUGAGAAGUGAAUUAGACGGGUUGAGCAUUCUGAAGAGAUAAGUUUGACAUCUCAAGAAAAAUGUCUAAUCGUGAAGUGAUAGUUGGCUUACGUGUCGAGCUUGGAUUGGUUGCAUAGUGUGGCAAAGCGGUAAAGUGACACAUGUAAAGCGUGAAAACGACCCAUGCAUGUAAAAGGUCGCUAUAAAGAGAACACAAAGGCCGGAAGAAAGGGCAUGAAACGCUAGUCACUCUAAAAAUUGUUAGAAGAAAGGUUUUGAGUUGUUGAAGAGGUCAAUUGAAGGAAUCACUAUGUGGGAAGAGAAAGCCAAAAGCAAAAAGAGAGAAAGAGCUAAGGCUGGCUAAGUGUUUUUGGCGCUAGUGGAAAUUCCAAGUUUAAUGAAUGACAUUGUUGAAGUGAACCCCAAGUCUCUAGGCAGAUGUAUGCUAGUAAAGUGAAUCCCAGAUCUAAGCGUGGAAUGAAUUUGUGAGAUGCCAAUAAAAGUGAAUACUAGGUCUAUCGUAAGGCGCUAGUAAGGUAAUUAAAUCCCAAGUUCAGGUGAUGUGAUGCUCGUGAAAGCGAAUAGCAGGUUUGAGAUGAGAUAGAAUGUUGCAAGACGCUAGUAGAAAUCCUAAAUCUAUCGCAAGACACUGAGGGAAAUCACAGGUUUAACGCUUGGCACUGGUGAAGUGAGUCCCAGGUCUAGGUAGGUAAAUCCUUGUGAAUGAAUUCGAAGUCUAGGUGAUUAGAUGUGGAUGGGAGAAUCCUAGGUCUCAGUGAUGAAUGGUGAAUGUUUGAUGAUUUGAAACGCGUAGAAUUGUUUGUGAUCGCUGUGUUUGUAAAUGGUAUUGAGAAUUUAUGUUGAUGCAAUUAAAACUUGUGUUCAUGA